This 450-nucleotide ribosomal RNA is filed under the name uncultured bacterium. RNAcentral describes it as "partial 16S ribosomal RNA". It matches the Rfam family "Bacterial small subunit ribosomal RNA", at positions 354 to 796 of the family's 1533-position model. The record is from RNAcentral.
GUGGGGAAUAUUGGACAAUGGGCGAAAGCCUGAUCCAGCCAUGCCGCGUGUGUGAAGAAGGUCUUCGGAUUGUAAAGCACUUUAAGUUGGGAGGAAGGGCAGUAAGUUAAUACCUUGCUGUUUUGACGUUACCGACAGAAUAAGCACCGGCUAACUUCGUGCCAGCAGCCGCGGUAAUACGAAGGGUGCAAGCGUUAAUCGGAAUUACUGGGCGUAAAGCGCGCGUAGGUGGUUUUGUAAGUUGGAGGUGAAAUCCCCGGGCUCAACCUGGGAACUGCCUCCAAAACUGCAUGACUAGAGUACGGUAGAGGGUAGUGGAAUUUCCUGUGUAGCGAUGAAAUGCGUAGAUAUAGGAAGGAACACCAGUGGCGAAGGCGACUACCUGGACUGAUACUGACACUGAGGUGCGAAAGCGUGGGGAGCAAACAGGAUUAGAUACCCUUGUAGUCC